AUCUUCUCAUUGAGCUCUAUCCUGUCUGCAACAUAUGGAUUCGCACGAGAAGAAUAUUAAUGUACUUAUGUGACCUGUAUCGUUGCCUUUGAAUACGAUGGCAUGAAAUGGUCUGUGCAAUAUGA
This 125-nucleotide small nucleolar RNA is filed under the name Xenopus laevis (African clawed frog). RNAcentral's name for it is "U23 snoRNA". The record is from RNAcentral. Lineage: Eukaryota; Metazoa; Chordata; Amphibia; Anura; Pipidae.